This 1499-nucleotide ribosomal RNA is filed under the name uncultured marine bacterium. RNAcentral's name for it is "bacterial SSU rRNA". It matches the Rfam family "Bacterial small subunit ribosomal RNA". The record is from RNAcentral.
GAGUUUGAUCAUGGCUCAGAUUGAACGCUGGCGGAAUGCUUUACACAUGCAAGUCGAACGGCAGCAUAGAGAGCUUGCUCUCUGAUGGCGAGUGGCGAACGGGUGAGUAAUAUAUCGGAACGUGCCUAGUAAUGGGGAAUAACUAGCUGAAAGGUUAGCUAAUGCCGCAUACGACCUACGGGUGAAAGCAGGGGAUCUUCGGACCUUGCGUUAUUAGAGCGGCCGAUAUCUGAUUAGCUUGUUGGUGGGGUAAUGGCCUACCAAGGCAACGAUCAGUAGCUGGUCUGAGAGGACGAUCAGCCACACUGGAACUGAGACACGGUCCAGACUCCUACGGGAGGCAGCAGUGGGGAAUUUUGGACAAUGGGGGCAACCCUGAUCCAGCCAUUCCGCGUGAGUGAAGAAGGCCUUCGGGUUGUAAAGCUCUUUCGCAAAAGAAGAAAACUUGCUAUCUAAUAAAUAGUAAGCAUGACGGUAUCUUGACAAGAAGCACCGGCUAACUACGUGCCAGCAGCCGCGGUAAUACGUAGGGUGCAAGCGUUAAUCGGAAUUACUGGGCGUAAAGCGUGCGCAGGCAGUCUUAUAAGUCAGAUGUGAAAUCCCCGAGCUCAACUUGGGAACUGCGUUUGAAACUGUAAGACUAGAGUGUGUCAGAGGGGGGUAGAAUUCCAAGUGUAGCAGUGAAAUGCGUAGAGAUUUGAGGAAUACAAUGGCGAAAGGCAGCCCCCUGGGAUAACACUGACGCUCAUGCACGAAAGCGUGGGGAGCAAACAGGAUUAGAUACCCUGGUAGUCCACGCCCUAAACGAUGUCUACUAGUUGUUGGUGGAGUAAAAUCCAUGAGUAACGCAGCUAACGCGUGAAGUAGACCGCCUGGGGAGUACGGUCGCAAGAUUAAAACUCAAAUGAAUUGACGGGGGCCCGCACAAGCGGUGGAGCAUGUGGUUUAAUUCGAUGCAACGCGAAAAACCUUACCUAUGCUUGACAUACUUGGAAUACUUUGUAAUGAAGUAGUGCCUUCGGGAGCCAAGAUACAGGUGCUGCAUGGCUGUCGUCAGCUCGUGUCGUGAGAUGUUCCGUUAAGUCGGAUAACGAGCGCAACCCUUACCCUUAUUUGCCAGCGAUUCGGUCGGGAACUAUAAGGGGACUGCCGGUGAUAAACCGGAGGAAGGUGAGGACGACGUCAAGUCAUCAUGGCCCUUACGACCUGGGCUACACACGUGCUACAAUGGCCGGUACAGAGGGCUGCUAACCCGCGAGGGGGCGCUAAUCCCACAAAACCGGUCGUAGUCCGGAUCGCAGUCUGCAACUCGACUGCGUGAAGUCGGAAUCGCUAGUAAUCGCAAAUCAGAAUGUUGCGGUGAAUACGUUCCCGGGCCUUGUACACACCGCCCGUCACACCACGGGAGUGGGUUGCAAAAGAAGUGGGUAGUCUAACCUUCGGGGGGACGCUCACCACUUUGUGAUUCAUGACUGGGGUGAAGUCGUAACAAGGUAACC